UGCAUGCUAUUCAGCUUCUGGGGAAC
Molecule: non-coding RNA, 26 nt
Filed under: Mus musculus (house mouse)
Lineage: Eukaryota; Metazoa; Chordata; Mammalia; Rodentia; Muridae
Source: RNAcentral